Long non-coding RNA from Heterocephalus glaber (naked mole-rat), 383 nucleotides. Lineage: Eukaryota; Metazoa; Chordata; Mammalia; Rodentia; Bathyergidae. The record is from Ensembl.
CCUCCCUUCUCGGGCUCGUCCCUCCCGGUGCGGUUUGGCAGAGAAAGCCCUCGCAGUCCCCUGGAAGACUAUCCAACGCCGGCCGGCCGGGAGGCGCCCCGCCGCAGAAACCCGACGCUGAUGCCGGGCUCAGCCAGCCUCAGUUUCCUCAUCUGUAAAACCAUGACUGAAAAGCCCUGGCAACUUCAGUUCAGGACCACAAUGGUGAGGUUUUGCUAGUGCAGCUGACUCCAAAGGAGCAAGUGCUGUCAUCUUGCUUAUGUUGUGACGGAUUUGGGUGGCUUCAGUUUGCAAGGGGCAGGAUUCAGCGUUUGGCCGAGGGUCCUGCGCUAUCUGCACACAGUGAAUGCGUUUCCAGCCCAACGGAAGUUGGAAACUUGCAG